GGAUGCAUAGCUCAGUUGGCUAGAGCAUCUCGUUUACACCGAGAGGGUCCGGGGUUCGAGUCCCUGUGCAUCCACCA
This 77-nucleotide transfer RNA is filed under the name Candidatus Falkowbacteria bacterium RIFOXYB2_FULL_34_18. RNAcentral's name for it is "tRNA-Val". It matches the Rfam family "tRNA". From Rfam's summary of the family: Transfer RNA (tRNA) molecules are approximately 80 nucleotides in length. Their secondary structure includes four short double-helical elements and three loops (D, anti-codon, and T loops). Further hydrogen bonds mediate the characteristic L-shaped molecular structure. tRNAs have two regions of fundamental functional importance: the anti-codon, which is responsible for specific mRNA codon recognition, and the 3' end, to which the tRNAs corresponding amino acid is attached (by aminoacyl-tRNA synthetases). tRNAs cope with the degeneracy of the genetic code in two manners: having more than one tRNA (with a specific anti-codon) for a particular amino acid; and 'wobble' base-pairing, i.e. permitting non-standard base-pairing at the 3rd anti-codon position. Lineage: Bacteria; Candidatus Falkowiibacteriota. The record is from RNAcentral. RNAcentral also lists the same sequence under 4 other names.